Molecule: ribosomal RNA, 397 nt
Filed under: uncultured microorganism
Description: bacterial SSU rRNA
Rfam family: Archaeal small subunit ribosomal RNA
Source: RNAcentral
GUGCACCAGGCGCGAAACUUCACACUGUGCGAAAGCACGAUGAGGGAAUCCCAAGUGCUUGCACGUAAGUGUAAGCUGUUUCUCUGUUUAAAACGCAGAGAGAGUAAGGGCUGGGUAAGACGGGUGCCAGCCGCCGCGGUAAUACCUGCAGCUCAAGUGGUGACCGUUAUAUUGGGCCUAAAACGUCCGUAGCCGGUUUAAUAAAUGCCUGGGUAAAUCGUGUAGCUUAACUAUACGAAUUCCGGGUAGACUGUUAAACUCGAGACCGGGAGAAGUUAGAGGUACUCCUGGGGUAGAGGUGAAAUUCUGUAAUCCUAGGGGGACCACCAGUGGCGAAGGCGUCUAACUAGAACGGGUCUGACGGUGAGGGACGAAGCCCUGGGGCGCAAAACGGGGA